RNAcentral lists this ribosomal RNA (497 nucleotides) under uncultured bacterium. Its description in RNAcentral is "partial 16S ribosomal RNA". It matches the Rfam family "Bacterial small subunit ribosomal RNA", at positions 28 to 507 of the family's 1533-position model. The record is from RNAcentral.
GACGAACGCUGGCGGCGUGCCUAACACAUGCAAGUCGAACGGACGGACCAGAAGUUUGCUCGGAUGAGGGUAGCAGAGGACGGGAGAGGCACACGUGGAUAACCCACCUAUGAGACAGGUAAGAUUACGGGAGAUGGGCGCUUAUAGCGGAUAAUAUUUUGAAAUGCAUGGGGCAAGAGUGAGAGUCGGUCUUUGGGUAAGUAAUAGCUGAAUCCGCGCUGCAUUAGCUAGUUGUUAAGGUAACGGCUUACCAAGGCGACGAUGCAUAGCCGACCUGAGAGGGGGAUCGGCCACACUGGAACUGAGACACGGUCCAGACUCCUACGGGAGGCAGCAGUAGGGAAUCUUCCGCAAUGGGCGAAAGCCUGACGGAGCAACGCCGCGUGAGUGAUGAAGGUCUUCGGAUCGUAAAACUCUGUUAUUAGGGAAGAACAUAUGUGUAAGUAACUGUGCACAUCUUGACGGUACCUAAUCAGAAAGCCACGGCUAACUACGUG